GACAGAGGUGCCGAGCGUUAGGCGGAAUCACUGGGCUUAAAGCGUGUGUAGGCGGCCCGUUAAGUGUCUUGUGAAAUCCCCCGGCUCAACCGGGGAACUGCUGGGCAUACUGGCGGGCUUGGGUCGCUCAGGGGCAGACGGAACAGGCGGUGGAGCGGUGAAAUGCAUAGAGAUCCGGAAGAACACCGACGGCGAAGGCAGCGUCCUGGCCGAGCACUGACGCUCAGGCACGAAAGCGCGGGGAGCAAACAGG
RNAcentral lists this ribosomal RNA (253 nucleotides) under uncultured bacterium. RNAcentral describes it as "partial 16S ribosomal RNA". It matches the Rfam family "Bacterial small subunit ribosomal RNA", at positions 524 to 776 of the family's 1533-position model. The record is from RNAcentral.